This 1530-nucleotide small RNA is filed under the name Glomeraceae sp. 11 RS-2018. RNAcentral's name for it is "eukaryotic LSU rRNA". The stretch from base 714 to 1530 matches the Rfam family "Eukaryotic large subunit ribosomal RNA", at positions 1 to 673 of the family's 3401-position model. Lineage: Eukaryota; Fungi; Glomeromycota; Glomeromycetes; Glomerales; Glomeraceae. The record is from RNAcentral.
AAAGCGCAAGUCAUCAGCUUGUGCUGAUUACGUCCCUGCCCUUUGUACACACCGCCCGUCGCUACUACCGAUUGAAUGGCUUAGUGAGACCCUCGGAUCGAUUUACUUAGACUAGCAACAGUCUUUGUGAGUUGAGAAGUUGGUCAAACUUGGUCAUUUAGAGGAAGUAAAAGUCGUAACAAGGUUUCCGUAGGUGAACCUGCGGAAGGAUCAUUAUCAAUAUUCAGCGCGAAAGAAAAAAUCUUUUCUUUUCGCGUAUGUAUUUAAAACCCACACCUUUUUUUUUUGAAACAUAUAAAUUUUUUUAUUAAAGUAAAAAAGAUCACUUUCAACAACGGAUCUCUUGGUUCUCGCAUCGAUGAAGAACGUAGCAAAGUGCGAUAAGUAAUGUGAAUUGCAGAAUUCCGUGGAUCAUCGAAUUUUUGAACGCAAAUUGCACUCUUUUUACGAAGAGUAUGCCUGUUUGAGGGUCAUUAAAAUAAAAAAAUCGAUUUUUGUUACCCCUUCUAAUGAGGAGUAUCAUCAUUUCGGAAUUGAGUUACCUUAAAAACCUUUUUUAAGUGACUUAAAAUUGAUCUUUCGUUGAUUUGAGCGCAUUUUUAUGGUUUAAACAACCUUUUGUGUGCUUUUUAACAAUCGACAAAAACUUUUUUAUUAGGUACGACCAUAUAUUUAUCAUGGUUUUCGUACCCAUAAAUAAUCAUAUGAAAUUUUGACCUCAAAUCAGGUAAGAUCACCCGCUGAACUUAAGCAUAUCAAUAAGCGGAGGAAAAGAAAAUAACAAUGAUUCCCCUAGUAACGGCGAGCGAAGAGGGAAUAGCUCAAAUUUUAAAUCUGUUAGGUUUACCUAACCGAGUUGUAAUUUGAAGAAGCGUUUUCCGAGUGUUCGAUUAGCCCAAAUCCUUUGGGAUAAGGUAUCAUGGAGGGUGAGAAUCCCGUCCGGUUAAAUCGAGCUUCUUUACGAUACGCUUUCUAAGAGUCGAGUUGUUUGGGAUUGCAGCUCAAAAUGGGAGGUAAAUUUCUCCUAAGGCUAAAUACAGGCGAGAGACCGAUAGCGAACAAGUACCGUGAGGGAAAGAUGAAAAGAACUUUGAAAAGAGAGUUAAACAGUACGUGAAAUUGUUGAAAGGGAAACGAUUAAAGUCAGUCGUACUGACGGGGAAUCAACCUUUCGAACGUGAUAACGUGGGGUUCAAAGAGAUUUUGUUCUCCCGGCAUUCGCGUUUUUUUGGUGCACUUUCUCGUGUUUUGUAGGUUAGCAUCGGUUUUGACCGUUAUAAAAUGAUCGGAGGGAUGUAGCUUCGAUUUCGAUUGAAGUGUUAUAACCUUUGGUAAAUGUAACUGUUGGGACCGAGGAUUGCAACGGAUACCCUAACGGGCUAUUCGUCUGACCUCUGAUACGUCACUUUGGCUUCGAAAGCUUGCUUACGAUGUUAAAGGCGUCGGUCAAAAGGUUAGAACGGAUUAAAUUCGUUAAGGAUGCUGACGUAAUGACUUUAAACGACCCGUCUUGAAACACGGACCAAGGAG